GACGACGCUGGCGGCGUGCUUAACACAUGCAAGUCGAACGGUGACGGAGAGCUUGCUCUCCUGAUCAGUGGCGAACGGGUGAGUAACACGUGGGCAACCUGCCCCAGACUUCGGGAUAACGCUUCGAAAGAGGUGCUAAUACCGAAUACGAACGCCGUGGGCAUCCACGGUGUUGGAAAGUUUUCGGUCUGGGAUGGGCCCGCGGCCUAUCAGCUUGUUGGUGAGGUAAUGGCUCACCAAGGCGACGACGGGUAGCCGGCCUGAGAGGGCGACCGGCCACACUGGGACUGAGACACGGCCCAGACUCCUACGGGAGGCAGCAGUGGGGAAUAUUGCGCAAUGGGCGAAAGCCUGACGCAGCAACGCCGCGUGGGGGAUGAAGGCCUUCGGGUUGUAAACCUCUUUCAGCAGGGAAGAAGCGAAAGUGACGGUACCUGCAGAAGAAGCACCGGCUAACUACGUG
Molecule: ribosomal RNA, 463 nt
Filed under: uncultured bacterium
Lineage: Bacteria
Description: bacterial SSU rRNA
Rfam family: Bacterial small subunit ribosomal RNA
Source: RNAcentral